GGUCUGCGGUCUUGGGCCCGCGCUGGGUUGGUUGCCUUCAAGAGCCCACCACACUUGCAGAAUAAGCAUACUCCGGAGGAAAGCUGAGCAUGGCUGCUCCAGAGCCAGCGUUUCCAUGUGCAAUUUUCCCUCGGAUAGCUCCCGGAAUACUGUUGCCACGGUGAUAAUGACCUCCGUGUCAUUAUCUAUCCACCAACAGUAAGAGAAGCUUUGCAGUCGCGAUAUUGUUUGGCAGACAGAGUGGUUUCUGUUGGACACUAAGUACUGCUACAAAU
This 275-nucleotide small nucleolar RNA is filed under the name Ictidomys tridecemlineatus (thirteen-lined ground squirrel). The record is from RNAcentral. Lineage: Eukaryota; Metazoa; Chordata; Mammalia; Rodentia; Sciuridae.